UGAGUAACAUGUGGGCAACCUGCCUGUAAGGCUGGGAUAACUCGCGGAAACGUGAGCUAAUACCGGAUGAAGUCUUUUAUCGCCUGAUAAAGGAGUAAAAGGUGGCAUAUGCUACCACUUACAGAUGGGCCCGUGGCGCAUUAGCUAGUUGGUGGGAUAAAAGCCUACCAAGGCGACGAUGCGUAGCCGACCUGAGAGGGUGAUCGGCCACACUGGGACUGAGACACGGCCCAGACUCCUACGGGAGGCAGCAGUAGGGAAUCUUCCGCAAUGGACGCAAGUCUGACGGAGCGACGCCGCGUGAGUGAUGAAGGUCUUCGGAUCGUAAAACUCUGUUGUCAGGGAAGAACAAGUGCCGUUCGAAUAGGGCGGUACCUUGACGGUACCUAACCAGAAAGCCCCGGCUAACUACGUGCCAGCAGCCGCGGUAAUACGUAGGGGGCAAGCGUUGUCCGGAAUUAUUGGGCGUAAAGCGCGCGCAGGCGGUCUCUUAAGUCUGAUGUGAA
This 506-nucleotide ribosomal RNA is filed under the name uncultured bacterium. RNAcentral's name for it is "bacterial SSU rRNA". It matches the Rfam family "Bacterial small subunit ribosomal RNA", at positions 107 to 598 of the family's 1533-position model. The record is from RNAcentral.